RNAcentral lists this long non-coding RNA (2290 nucleotides) under Homo sapiens (human). RNAcentral describes it as "HSALNT0108312". The record is from RNAcentral. Lineage: Eukaryota; Metazoa; Chordata; Mammalia; Primates; Hominidae.
CUUACCCUGACUUCUGUUGGCCUGCUAGUUCAUUUUCACACCCAGCCCCCAUCCUUACACCUCCGUGGUCCUUAGCUGAUGACUGACAGUUGUGGGAGUUAGAAAGUCUUGCCUGCCAUUGCAGAGGUCUCUUGCCAUACGAGGUUUCAUGAAGCAGGACUUUGACUGAAAUCCUACGCAUAUCUGGCUUCUUUCUGUCCUUUUCCUUGAUUCCCUCACCCUCUUCCCUAUUUUGUUGGGAGUUCUUCUUUCAAAAAUCGCUCGCACAAGAAUCUUCAUUUCAGAAUCUGAUUUUGGGCAGCCAGAUUCAGGAUAGUCCUCAUAAGUAAAUGGGGAUGGCAAAACGUACCUUGCAAAUUUGUUGCUAGAACCAUGAUAUAAGGUCUAAAGCUACUGACACACAGGGCCUUCAUUAAAUAGCAAACAUCCUCCACUUGCUACCUAGUGCAAGUUAGCUUAGCCUAAAUACAGCGUAAUAGUAAAGAGAAAUAUUGUCAAAUAGGAAAAAAUCAUGAGCUUUCUAAUCAGAGCCUACUUGGGCUCAAAUCUCAGCCAUGUCAUUUGCUAGCUAUGUUGCUUCAUAGGUUACAUCAUUACUUUGUACCUCUUUUUAUUCUGUAAAAUGGGGAUAAUAACACCCAAGGUUGAUAGAAGUAUGUUCUGUGUUAUAACUGAGACUUAGGUCUGGCAUGAGUUAAGCAAUAUUCCCUCUUCCCUAAGUAUCUAUUUAAAUAUCCUGCUUUAUCUUUGAAAUGAGAAAACUUCUAGGAAAUACAAAUAUGAAAUGCAAAAACAAACAAAAACAAUAAACUAAACAAACAAAACCAAAAAUCCCUGAACUUUGUUCACAACCAAGAUUCAGAAACAAAUAAUUUUUAUCUGGCUUGGGGAAAGUGUGACAAACAAGACAAUUUUGGUGAUGUGAUUUUGGAAGCCCUGAGAAUUCAUAAGGGGGAGAAGAAGUGUAAUACAAUGAAUCCACUUUAUUCAGCAAUGGGAAGUGCUAUGAGGGGACCAGUCAUUCUGGACAGAGCUCAGGAAAUGAUUACAAAAAGUUCUGACUCAAGAGUUUCCUGAGAGUUGAAGGUGCUCUCGCACUUUGUAAUACUUUAGGUUCCAACUAACUAUGCUGUUCCAUUCCCCAGAGCAUUCCUCAGUGGAGCUGUGGUGGUUUCCAUCUCAGUCCUUUCAUGCUACCAGUUGACAAGAGCCAUCUCAAGAGCAGAGGUGAAUUGAGAGGAUUCUUUUCUUUUUAACUGUGGCAGUCUUCUUUUAGGAUCAUUUUGGACCAGCGGUGGAAUUUAUUUGUGGAAUAAAUACCUGAGUGUCAAGGAUAUUUUGGGUUUCUGUAAUUUAAUGAAUCAGUGUAUAUUGGAAUCAGUUUUAGUAAGAACAUAUACAUGAUGACCAUACGGUCAAGAUUUUCUUGAACAGACUCCAUUCCAAGUGUUUUCCACCUGCUUUAUUAAAGUAUAAUUGAGAAAUAAAAAAUGUAUAUAUUUACAAUGUAAAAUAUGAUGCUUUGAUAUCUGUAUACAUUUUGAAACUAUUAAAUCAACCUUAUUAGCAACUUUUAUCUCACAUACCUAUUUUUUGUGAUGAGAACUAUUAAAAUCUACUUUCUUAGCAAUUUCAAGUAUACAAUACAUUAUUAUGAAUUAUAGUGACUAUACUGUACAAUAGAUCUUCAGAAUGUAUUCAUCUUAACUGAGACUUUGUACUCUUUAACCAGCAUCUCCCCUCUUUCCACGCCCACAACCCUUGGCAACCACCAUUCUAGUCUCUGCUUCUGUAAGUUUGACAUUUUUAGAUUCCAUAUAUAAGUGAGAUAAUGAAUUGCAACUGUUUCUCCCCAUUUGUUCACUAAAGGCAGAAUUUCAUUAAAUAUAACUUGCUUGGCUAGAUAAGUGGGAGAGCAGAGCUGAGAUUCAAACCUUCAUCAGGUUCAAAUAGCUAUGCUGUUAAUAUUUGGCUUCCCAAUACUUUCUUAUCCAGUGAGUUUUAACGCAACUUACUAUCAACAUUUUAAUUCCAAAAUAGUAAUCCAUUUACAAAAAUCAAACUAAAAGGAUCUUAAGGCAUUGAGCUUCUUCCUCUCCCUUUCAGACUUGACUUGUUUAAGUGCUGCAUCAUUAAUCCUAACAGAGAUCUUAUGUCUGAGCAACUUCUAAACUAUUCAGUAACUAUAUUAACUCAUUCUCUAAAUUGUGGUGUCUGGAUUAAUGAGGUAUAUUUCUAUAUACAUAGAGUUAUGUAAAAUGCUGUGCAUCAAUAAAAUACAUUUAUACAA